Molecule: ribosomal RNA, 450 nt
Filed under: uncultured bacterium
Lineage: Bacteria
Description: bacterial SSU rRNA
Rfam family: Bacterial small subunit ribosomal RNA
Source: RNAcentral
GUGGGGAAUAUUGGACAAUGGGCGAAAGCCUGAUCCAGCCAUGCCGCGUGUGUGAAGAAGGUCUUCGGAUUGUAAAGCACUUUAAGUUGGGAGGAAGGGCAGUAAGUUAAUACCUUGCUGUUUUGACGUUACCGACAGAAUAAGCACCGGCUAACUUCGUGCCAGCAGCCGCGGUAAUACGAAGGGUGCAAGCGUUAAUCGGAAUUACUGGGCGUAAAGCGCGCGUAGGUGGUUUUGUAAGUUGGAGGUGAAAUCCCCGGGCUCAACCUGGGAACUGCAUCCAAAACUGCAUGACUAGAGUACGGUAGAGGGUAGUGGAAUUUCCUGUGUAGCGGUGAAAUGCGUAGAUAUAGGAAGGAACACCAGUGGCGAAGGCGACUACCUGGACUGAUACUGACACUGAGGUGCGAAAGCGUGGGGAGCAAACAGGAUUAGAAACCCUGGUAGUCC